AAUGGGCGAAAGCCUGAUCCAGCCAUGCCGCGUGAGUGAAGAAGGCCUUCGGGUUGUAAAGCUCUUUCGGCGGGGAAGAAAUCGCAUUCACUAAUACUGGAUGUGGAUGACGGUACCCGAACAAGAAGCACCGGCUAACUACGUGCCAGCAGCCGCGGUAAUACGUAGGGUGCGAGCGUUAAUCGGAAUUACUGGGCGUAAAGCGUGCGCAGGCGGUUUUGUAAGUCAGAUGUGAAAUCCCCGGGCUCAACCUGGGAACUGCAUUUGAGACUGCAAGGCUAGAGUACGGCAGAGGGGGGUGGAAUUCCACGUGUAGCAGUGAAAUGCGUAGAGAUGUGGAGGAACACCGAUGGCGAAGGCAGCCCCCUGGGCCAAUACUGACGCUCAUGCACGAAAGCGUGGGGAGCAAA
Molecule: ribosomal RNA, 410 nt
Filed under: uncultured bacterium
Lineage: Bacteria
Description: bacterial SSU rRNA
Rfam family: Bacterial small subunit ribosomal RNA
Source: RNAcentral